Amphiprion ocellaris (clown anemonefish) is the source of this 1233-nucleotide long non-coding RNA. Lineage: Eukaryota; Metazoa; Chordata; Actinopteri; Pomacentridae. The record is from Ensembl.
CACCAACAACCGCGGCAGUUAUGGCCACCAACACGGAUGCACCCACGGCACGCUGAGCGACUCGUCUCUCAGCGUCACAGUCGUCGCUGUACCAGCGAUGUUACGUGCGCCCCGAUUUACCACGCCAGAUCGAGCAUGCCCGGCUGCAGUCACCUCCACGAGGAAAGCUCAGAGCAGAAAGCAUGAGACUGAGGUGAAGCCACCCACCUGUGUAUAUAUACAGCGGCGCCGGAUGCUGCACUGCUGUCACAGUGGUGAUUGAAUUGGCACAGUGCCAUACAGCGGCCAGGAGGGAGAAACCAUCCGGCUACACAAGGAAGCGAUCUCACUGAUGAAACAUUCAGCUGAUGAGGACACGGUCAGGAAGAAGAUGAAGCUGACAUUUGUCCAUCGGUGUAACAUGGUCCUUGACCCACAGCAGUCAAGCGACAUACUAUCUGAUUUUCCACGUUUCAAAGACAUCAAAGGCUUGGUUGAACAGGAUUUUGUUCUGAUGUUUGGAGAGGAUGUAUCGGACGAGUUUCUGGAGAAGUGGCCAACCACAUUCAAGAAAAAGAUCAUCCAACAAUGCAGAAAGCUUCCCUCUAUCAGUGAGCUUGAGGACCUCCUUCUGGCAGCUGAUCCUCCUGAGGAUGGUGCUGAAGUGGAUGUUGACUUUAGUUGGGACAGUGACCUCUCAUCGAUUUUACUGCUCUUACACUUGAUUCCAUCUACUGCUCUGGGUCGGAAGAGGCCAGGAAAGAUGUCUGCGUCCCGGGCUGAAAAGUAUCUUGUCUUCAAGAAGACUGGAACAAGCAUCCAAGAGCAUCUUGAUGCCAUUACUACCAGCACUCAACCCUAUCUCUUGGCUGUUGGAACGAGGAAGAACACAAUCCAUCAGUUCUUCAUUCUCGACAAGAAUGCCAUACCUUGCAGGAGCUGUUGGGCCAGGUGGCUGGUGGCUGACUGAUUUCCCCCGGCGGUGGUGGUCCCUUCACUCCCUGUACAAUAGUGCACUUGGGUGUUUGUCAAUGAUUUUGUUUUGUUCACGUGUGGUGUGGUGCAUUAGGACCCUUCCCUUCUCCCCUCCAGUUCGUCAUCGCUGCCUGGUAAGCCCUCAGCCCUGUGCCUGGUGACUGUUUCGGUGGCACACUUAAUUAAGUCAGGGGGGGCCCUUGAGGAUUAGAUUAAUACUGUGCCACUUACUACCAAGUUAUGUCUUGGCAUCGCCAACAAGGUCUGUUUUAGAAAGAG